This 494-nucleotide ribosomal RNA is filed under the name uncultured bacterium. Its description in RNAcentral is "partial 16S ribosomal RNA". It matches the Rfam family "Bacterial small subunit ribosomal RNA", at positions 28 to 507 of the family's 1533-position model. The record is from RNAcentral.
GACGAACGCUGGCGGCGUGCUUAACACAUGCAAGUCGAACGGUGAAGCGCCUUCCUUUUUGGUGGGCGUGGAUGAGUGGCGAACGGGUGAGUAACACGUGAGUAACCUGCCCCCUUCUUCUGGAUAACCGCAUGAAAGUGUGGCUAAUACGGGAUAUUCUGGGUCUGUCGCAUGAUGGGUCUGGGAAAGAUAUUGUUUCGGUGGGGGAUGGGCUCGCGGCCUAUCAGCUUGUUGGUGGGGUGAUGGCCUACCAAGGUGGUGACGGGUAGCCGGCCUGAGAGGGUGGACGGUCACACUGGGACUGAGACACGGCCCAGACUCCUACGGGAGGCAGCAGUGGGGAAUAUUGCACAAUGGGCGCAAGCCUGAUGCAGCGACGCCGCGUGAGGGAUGGAGGCCUUCGGGUUGUGAACCUCUUUCGCCAGUGAAGCAGGCCUGCCUCGUUUGUGGGUGGGUUGACGGUAGCUGGAUAAGAAGCGCCGGCUAACUACGUG